Molecule: microRNA precursor, 207 nt
Filed under: Arabidopsis thaliana x Arabidopsis arenosa
Lineage: Eukaryota; Viridiplantae; Streptophyta; Magnoliopsida; Brassicales; Brassicaceae
Description: MIR854
Rfam family: MIR854 microRNA precursor family
Source: RNAcentral
AUGAAGAGAUUAGUUGAGAGAACUAUGACACAAGCAGGUUCCACUUUGAAGAACACAAGCCUCCUUCACGAGAAAGCAAGAGUCUCGCUGAAUCACACUAGAAGCUCAGACUAGUUCAAAAAUGGUGCAAGUUUCAGGACAAGAUCAUCUACAAGUGUAUCAAAGCCGUCGAUAACAUGCAGAAGGCCCUCAGCUGCACAUCAUCAA